Molecule: unclassified non-coding RNA, 238 nt
Filed under: Hevea brasiliensis (rubber tree)
Lineage: Eukaryota; Viridiplantae; Streptophyta; Magnoliopsida; Malpighiales; Euphorbiaceae
Source: RNAcentral
AGGAAGGAGAUCGGAGCAUCCAUUAAUGGCGAAGAGGAUAAGGUUUGAAUCAGUGAUUUUACUGAUUUUGUCACUCUCGGCGGCGUCUGUGGCGAUUGCAGAGAGGAGAGUGUCACUGUUGAAUGAUUAUGAUAAAUCGAUUUUCAAGUCAUCGUUUCGUCGAAUUUUUGAUACCUCGAAGUACGGCAUAUUGCAGCUUCAAAAUGGCUUGGCUCGAACGCCUCAGAUGGGAUGGAAU